RNAcentral lists this ribosomal RNA (934 nucleotides) under uncultured bacterium. RNAcentral describes it as "bacterial SSU rRNA". It matches the Rfam family "Bacterial small subunit ribosomal RNA", at positions 570 to 1502 of the family's 1533-position model. The record is from RNAcentral.
UCCAGGUGGUUUUGUUAAGUCAGAUGUGAAAGCCCGGGGCUCAACCUUCGGAAUUGCAUUUGAAACUGGCAAACUAGAGUACUGUAGAGGGGGGUAGAAUUUCAGGUGUAGCGGUGAAAUGCGUAGAGAUCUGAAGGAAUACCGGUGGCGAAGGCGGCCCCCUGGACAGAUACUGACACUCAGAUGCGAAAGCGUGGGGAGCAAACAGGAUUAGAUACCCUGGUAGUCCACGCCGUAAACGAUGUCUACUUGGAGGUUGUGGCCUUGAGCCGUGGCUUUCGGAGCUAACGCGUUAAGUAGACCGCCUGGGGAGUACGGUCGCAAGAUUAAAACUCAAAUGAAUUGACGGGGGCCCGCACAAGCGGUGGAGCAUGUGGUUUAAUUCGAUGCAACGCGAAGAACCUUACCUACUCUUGACAUCUACAGAAGCCAGCGGAGACGCAGGUGUGCCUUCGGGAACUGUAAGACAGGUGCUGCAUGGCUGUCGUCAGCUCGUGUUGUGAAAUGUUGGGUUAAGUCCCGCAACGAGCGCAACCCUUAUCCUUGUUUGCCAGCACUUCGGGUGGGAACUCCAGGGAGACUGCCGGUGAUAAACCGGAGGAAGGUGGGGACGACGUCAAGUCAUCAUGGCCCUUACGAGUAGGGCUACACACGUGCUACAAUGGCGCAUACAGAGGGCAGCCAACUUGCGAAAGUGAGCGAAUCCCAAAAAGUGCGUCGUAGUCCGGAUUGGAGUCUGCAACUCGACUCCAUGAAGUCGGAAUCGCUAGUAAUCGUGGAUCAGAAUGCCACGGUGAAUACGUUCCCGGGCCUUGUACACACCGCCCGUCACACCAUGGGAGUGGGCUGCAAAAGAAGUGGGUAGUUUAACCUUCGGGAGGACGCUCACCACUUUGUGGUUCAUGACUGGGGUGAAGUCGUAACAAGGUAACCG